AGGUGACCUGCGGAAGGAUCAUUAUCAAUAUCAGCGGGCUUCGGCCCCUGCUAUACCCUUGUCUUUUGCGUACCACUUGUUUCCUCGGCGGGCUUGCCUGCCGAUAGGACAAACACAAACCCUUUGUAGUUGCAAUCAGCGUCAGAAAAAAACAAUAAUUAAAACUUUCAACAACGGAUCUCUUGGUUCUGGCAUCGAUGAAGAACGCAGCGAAAUGCGAAAAGUAGUGUGAAUUGCAGAAUUCAGUGAAUCAUCGAAUCUUUGAACGCACAUUGCGCCCCUUGGUAUUCCAUGGGGCAUGCCUGUUCGAGCGUCAUUUGUACCUUCAAGCAAUGCUUGGUGUUGGGUGCUUGUCCGCCAGCGGACUCACCUAAAAGCUAUUGGCAGCCGCCGCAUAGGCAGCAGAGCGCAGCACAUUACCGCGUCUCUGCCCUCCGCGACGGCAUCCACAAGCCCUUUUCAACGUUUGACCUCGGAUCAGGUAGGGAUACCCGCUGAACUUAAGCAUAUCAAUAAGCGGAGGAAAAGAAACCAACAGGGAUUGCCCUAGUAACGGCGAGUGAAGCGGCAACAGCUCAAAUUUGAAAUCUGGCUCUUUCAGGGUCCGAGUUGUAAUUUGCAGAGGGCGCUUUGGCGUUGGCAGCGGUCCAAGUUCCUUGGAACAGGACGUCACAGAGGGUGAGAAUCCCGUACGUGGUCGCUGGCUAACGCCGUGUAAGCCCCUUCGACGAGUCGAGUUGUUUGGGAUGCAGCUCUAAAUGGGAGGUAAAUUUCUUCUAA
RNAcentral lists this ribosomal RNA (780 nucleotides) under fungal sp. Its description in RNAcentral is "eukaryotic LSU rRNA". The stretch from base 468 to 780 matches the Rfam family "Eukaryotic large subunit ribosomal RNA", at positions 1 to 313 of the family's 3401-position model. Lineage: Eukaryota; Fungi. The record is from RNAcentral.